UGCGUAGGUGGUUUGUUAAGUCUGAUGUGAAAGCCCUGGGCUCAACCUGGGAAUUGCACUGGAUACUGGCAGGCUAGAGUGCGGUAGAGGAUGGCGGAAUUCCUGGUGUAGCAGUGAAAUGCGUAGAGAUCAGGAGGAACAUCCGUGGCGAAGGCGGCCAUCUGGACCAGCACUGACACUGAGGCACGAAAGCGUGGGGAGCAAACA
RNAcentral lists this ribosomal RNA (207 nucleotides) under uncultured Luteimonas sp. RNAcentral's name for it is "partial 16S ribosomal RNA". It matches the Rfam family "Bacterial small subunit ribosomal RNA", at positions 568 to 774 of the family's 1533-position model. Lineage: Bacteria; Pseudomonadati; Pseudomonadota; Gammaproteobacteria; Lysobacterales; Lysobacteraceae. The record is from RNAcentral.